This 427-nucleotide ribosomal RNA is filed under the name uncultured bacterium. RNAcentral's name for it is "partial 16S ribosomal RNA". It matches the Rfam family "Bacterial small subunit ribosomal RNA", at positions 355 to 774 of the family's 1533-position model. The record is from RNAcentral.
UGGGGAAUAUUGCACAAUGGGCGCAAGCCUGAUGCAGCCAUGCCGCGUGUAUGAAGAAGGCCUUCGGGUUGUAAAGUACUUUCAGCGGGGAGGAAGGUGUUGAGGUUAAUAACCUCAGCAAUUGACGUUACCCGCAGAAGAAGAACCGGCUAACUCCGUGCCAGCAGCCGCGGUAAUACGGAGGGUGCAAGCGUUAAUAGGAAUUACUGGGCGUAAAGCGCACGCAGGCGGUCUGUCAAGUCGGAUGUGAAAUCCCCGGGCUCAACCUGGGAACUGCAUUCGAAACUGGCAGGCUAGAGUCUUGUAGAGGGGGGUAGAAUUCCAGGUGUAGCGGUGAAAUGCGUAGAGAUCUGGAGGAAUACCGGUGGCGAAGGCGGCCCCCUGGACAAAGACUGACGCUCAGGUGCGAAAGCGUGGGGAGCAAACA